CUAAUUCUGAUAACCUAAGUCGCCAUGGUGAAUGUGGGAAAAAGCAAGUGUCUUACAGAACUGAUAUUGUUGGUGGCGUACCCAUCAUUACUCCCACUCAGAAAGAAGAAGUAAAUGAAUGUGGUGAAAGUAUUGACAGAAAUAAUCUGAAACGGUCACAAAGCCAUCUUCCUUACUUUACUCCUAAACCACCUCAAGAUAGUGCGGUUAUCAAAGCUGGAUAUUGUGUAAAACAAGGAGCAGUGAUGAAAAACUGGAAGAGAAGAUAUUUUCAAUUGGAUGAAAACACAAUAGGCUACUUCAAAUCUGAACUGGAAAAGGAACCUCUUCGUGUAAUACCACUUAAAGAGGUUCAUAAAGUCCAGGAAUGUAAGCAAAGCGACAUAAUGAUGAGGGACAACCUCUUUGAAAUUGUAACAACGUCUCGAACUUUCUAUGUGCAGGCUGAUAGCCCUGAAGAGAUGCACAGUUGGAUUAAAGCAGUCUCUGGCGCCAUUGUAGCACAGCGGGGUCCCGGCAGAUCUGCGUCUUCUAUGCGGCAGGCCAGAAGGCUGUCGAACCCUUGUAUACAGAGCAUCCCCCCGGUCCUUCAGAAUCCAAACACGCUUUCCGUCCUACCAACGCAGCCACCGCCACCUCACAUUCCACAGCCUCUCGCAGCAACUCUUUGGUCUCAACCUUUACCAUGGAGAAGCGAGGAUUUUACGAGUCUCUUGCCAAGGUCAAGCCAGGGAACUUCAAGGUCCAGACUGUCUCUCCAAGAGAACCAGCUUCCAAAGUGACUGAACAAGCUCUGUUAAGACCUCAAAGUAAAAAUGGCCCUCAGGAAAAAGAUUGUGACCUAGUAGACUUGGACGAUGCGAGCCUUCCGGUCAGUGACGUGUGAGGCAGAAGCGCACGGAGCCUGCCUGCCUCUGCCGUCCUCAGUUUCCUUUCAUGAGGCUUCUAGCCAAAGAUGAUAAAGGGGGAAAUGGUUUUUAGUGCGUAUAUUAUACUGCCUCUUAGGUGUACUCUUUAUAAGCUGGUAAACCAAGAAUCUAGGGAGUGGCCAAACUAAAUAUAAUUUCUUUAAAAA
RNAcentral lists this long non-coding RNA (1075 nucleotides) under Homo sapiens (human). RNAcentral describes it as "long non-coding RNA NONHSAT156250.1". The record is from RNAcentral. Lineage: Eukaryota; Metazoa; Chordata; Mammalia; Primates; Hominidae.